CCUACGGGAGGCAGCAGUGGGGAAUUUUGGACAAUGGGCGAAAGCCUGAUCCAGCAAUGCCGCGUGUGUGAAGAAGGCCUUCGGGUUGUAAAGCACUUUUGUCCGGAAAGAAAUGGCUCUGGUUAAUACCUGGGGUCGAUGACGGUACCGGAAGAAUAAGGACCGGCUAACUACGUGCCAGCAGCCGCGGUAAUACGUAGGGUCCAAGCGUUAAUCGGAAUUACUGGGCGUAAAGCGUGCGCAGGCGGUUAUGUAAGACAGAUGUGAAAUCCCCGGGCUCAACCUGGGAACUGCAUUUGUGACUGCAUGGCUAGAGUACGGUAGAGGGGGAUGGAAUUCCGCGUGUAGCAGUGAAAUGCGUAGAUAUGCGGAGGAACACCGAUGGCGAAGGCAAUCCCCUGGACCUGUACUGACGCUCAUGCACGAAAGCGUGGGGAGCAAACAGGAUUAGAUACCCUGGUAGUCCACGCCCUAAACGAUGUCAACUGGUUGUUGGGAAUUAGUUUUCUCAGUAACGAAGCUAACGCGUGAAGUUGACCGCCUGGGGAGUACGGCCGCAAGGUUGAAACUCAAAUGAAUUGACGGGG
This 587-nucleotide ribosomal RNA is filed under the name uncultured beta proteobacterium. RNAcentral describes it as "bacterial SSU rRNA". It matches the Rfam family "Bacterial small subunit ribosomal RNA", at positions 338 to 918 of the family's 1533-position model. Lineage: Bacteria; Pseudomonadati; Pseudomonadota; Betaproteobacteria. The record is from RNAcentral.